UCCUCCUGCUUUUCAAUUAGGUCAUCAAUUAUGUUGGAGUCCGCUGUGAGCCGUAAUCAGGCUGCAGAUCCGCCUCAGCUGUUGCAGGAAGCGCCGGCCCCUCCGCCGCUACAUCACCGUUUCUAUGGGACCCGGAGAGCCAAUGGCUGAUGUAAGAGUGGGGAAACGGCCCGUGUUGUGUAUUGAGGCUCGGCCCUGGACGUGAGCCCAGCAUGCAGUGUGUUUCCUCACAACAAGGCAGCUCUCAAAGGCCAGACAGUUUCCUGACUUUGUAUAGGAACACAAUCAGGCCUGCAGGGCGAGGAGGGGGGCGGCCGAGUGGACGGACGUAUUCUCACUGUGCUUCUUCAGUGAUUUGAUCUAAAAAUAGUGACGCUCUACUGUGUUUUCAGUGUGUUUCUGUACAUACUGAACCCAAGUGGUAAAUAUACGUACAUAUCUAUAGAGAGAAAGAGAUGAGAGGAGAUGCACAAACAGAUAUUAGAGCCAAGCUUCAGUAACAGAUGAAACAUUAAACAGUGAAAACUAAUGUGUUCAUCUCAGUGUUACCUGUUAUUGUAUUUCAUUGCAGCAGUAAUUUCUUGAGGAUUAUCUUAUGAAUCAAAGCACUGAUUAUCAAAAUUCUUCGCAUGAAAUGAGAGCUGAAACAAAAGUCGAUUAAUCAGUUAGUCGAUCGACGGAAAAUUAAUCUGCAACCUCCCACUAUUUUGAUAAUCAAUUAAUCAUUUAGGUCACUUUGCAAGAAAUAAAAUGCCAAACAUGAACUGGUUCCAGCUUCUCAAAUGAGAUAAGAUAAACCUUUAUUUAUCCCUGGAGGGAAAUUCAGGUGUCAUAGCAACUGCAAUGAGAAUGAAACACAGUAAAAGUACAGAACCAAACCAAGAUAAUAAGAAUAAAAAUAUAAAUAUACAUAUAAAUAAAAAUAAAGAUAAAGUAAAACACUGAGCAGAUGGCCCUAGAUAUCUGCACUGGAUCUCUGAAUGAGUGGACAUAUGUACAGUCUAUCAAUAAAUAGUCUGUCCAUUAGGUAUAAUGUACUUAUAUAAAUAUGAGUGACUAUAUGAAUGAAUGAAAGUAUUAACAUGAACAUAUUUGCUGCUUUUCUCUGUUUUAUAUCCUUGUUAACCGAAUAGCUUUAGAAUUUGGACCGUCGGCCGGAAAAAAAUAAAUUUUUACAACAAUACAAUUUUUUAGACCAACCAGUUAAUUGAUUAAUGAUAAUAAAAAUUGUUAGUUGCAACCCUAUGUGAAAUAAUGUGGAAGUAGCAACUCGUCCUGAUUUUACCAAUUUUAGAAUUAUACAUGUUUCUAAAUGAUUUAAUGAGGCAAAAUCUCCUUGAAUGUGGGAAAUUAUCAAUAGAUUUGAAUUAAAAAUGAGGUUUACAUGACUGAUUUGUUUGUAUGCUGAAGUGAAUCCUCUUUCAGGAGCUAAACUGUCUGCUCCUCAUGGUUUUGGCAGAGUUGAAUUAAGUAUUAUAAUCUAUUCCAUAGGCUGAAAUAAAGGUCAUGUGGGUGAUGAUGAUGAUGUUGGAUGAUGAUGUACUCCAGGUUUUAUCAUUUGAUGUACAUUGUUUUAUCUGAGCUUGUGUGGCAGCUUUUAGCACGUUUCACAGAUUUUUCUUACAUGAUUUUGGUGUCAUGUGUGUUUCACCUGGCUGCAAGACACAUUUCUCCUUGGGGACGGUAAAGUUGAAAUUGAAAACAAGGUAUAGAUCUACAUUUUAUAGAAUAAAAAUAUGCAGAGAUCUGCCUUCAGUCAGUAGCUGUAUUAUACUAAGAUGUUAAGGAACGACAUAUAUUACACUCUGUUCGUCAUUUUAGUAACACUCGCUGCCUAUGAAAAAUUGACUGUGCUGCUGAGUGUUCAUUAAUUUAUUCAGCACAUACAGUUUGUACAUUCUGCAUCAUGAGGUUUUAAUGCACAGGCGGCCACCAUCUUUAUGCACCUCGUCUUAUUACAUCAAACCUCCUCCACUAUCUUUAAAAUCUACUAAAAGAAGACACAGUUAUGCAAAGAAAUAUGAUCAAAAAAGAGUCUGACACACAGUUGGCUUUAAAUAUCAGUUUGAUUAUUUAAUAACUGCUUACAUUUGCUAAGGAUUUGCUUGAAACAAAGGCAUAUUAUUUCCAUUGUUUGAAAACAUGCUAAAACAAAAUAUGUAUUUCUUUUUGUAUCAUCUAAUACAAAUGAGACUCACUUAAAGCACAUUCUCAAAACUUGGCAGCCUGAAAAAUGUUAUUUGAUGCCUUUUUUUCUCCGUGCCAUGUGCUCUCUCUCUACUUCUUCCCACAACUCUUUAAUGCAACUUUCUAAAAAUGCCAGAAUUCCUUAAAUAUAAUCAGCGGUUGAAGAACACGGACCACUGGCAUACAAAGGGUCAAAAAGCAAAAAUGAGUCACUGAAGCUCUGAACCUUUUAUGCCUAAAGAUGUCACUGCCAUCUUCACAGCCCAAGAUAGCUUUGUGUAGAUGUACUGCACAAACUAUGUCUUAUUUAUACGUCUCUUUGGUUGAAUUAUAAAGGAAUGUUUGACGUUGUUUUGGAGCUAAAUUCUGAGGCCUCUUCCGUCUAAGUGUUGGCAUUACAUAAUUGAGGGCUGAGACUUUUAUAGUUGAAAUUAUUAAGAGAUGUUUUUUUUUUUAGACUAAAUGGAUUGCUUCAGAACUUUGGUGCCUUUUAGGACUCAAAUUGCUGCUGCUUCUCAUUAAUUGAAGAAACUGGAGAAUAGUCUUUUUUUAUGGAUGACUGUCUUCCGCUUUUACAUCACAACUAGCCCCGCACGUGUCAAACACUGCUGUUGCCAGUUCGGAAACACUGUAGAUGCACGAUAGAUUGUUAGGACUAAAUGAGAAAUAUUCUUUUGUCGGCUCUCUUUCAGCCGAAUUAUUAGUAUUAUAGUUAGACAGUAGUGUAUGUUAGUAGUUCCCAACAUCUUUGGCUUGAAUACAAUAAAAUAUUACUUGUGACCACUUGUCACAGGUUGCAUAUGUCCAUGAUCUGAAACAAUCAAUGAUUUUCCCUUCUAAGAUUGCUUGAUUUGAACAAUUUUAGAGGCUUGAAGAGGUGAAACUAUGUAGUAUUUCAAGAUAAAAUAAAGCAAAAGCCAAAUAUGAGAGGAAAGUUAAAAAGAUAAACAUAAUUUUGUGUAGCAGAAUGUUGUUGUUUUCUUGUUUUCUUCCCUGGUAAUUAGCUCAUGACCCCUUAGAUUCAUCUUGUGACCCCUUGGAGGUGUCACAAACCCCGGGUUGGGAACUGCAUAUCUACAUAUGUUGUAAUGUAUGAUUCUCCUCUAAAAUAUCAGAUAAAUACCUUUUACACUGCAAAAUCAAUGUCCUGUCCAAUGAUAACGCUUGAUACUUUUAUAAAUUCAACAAAAUAAAAAGCAAGUUCUUAUGACAGUGUACAGAACUUUAUUUCAAAUUCUAGUGCAGAUCCCCGAGUUUCCAAAGAUAUAAAUAUCUUAGACAAAAUUUUGGGGGAAAUAUGUAUAAAGUGAUGUACAAGGAAUAUUUCCAUUUGAUGAAAAAGUGCAGCCAUAAAAAAGUCUUGGGUUUGAAUAUUUCACUCGAUGUAAAAAUCAUUUAGCUUAUAUCAGAAGCUUAAGCAGAAUAGAUAUGAAGUAUCAAUAGUGUGGAAUAAGAUAGCUUUAACAACAUUAAAGCUACUUAAGAGGAAAUAAAAGUAGCAAACUGGAUGUUAAGAAGUUAACAGGAUUCUGCACAUUACCAAAAAAACAAUAUAUUUCACUGAAUUACCCUUCAUUGUAUCCACCAGAUAAUCCAAAUAGUUCAGGAGCAUUAAAUCAGAUUUCCCCCCCUCUCUUUCUACCCACAAACACCUGACAGAAACCGAGACUGUGUAGCUCAGAGGCUCUGGAUAAGCCUCAUGUUUUAUUUGCGAAAAGCGGCCCCAUUGUCCCAUAAGUCACCACGCACAGCACUCUUCUGCUUCACGCCACACUGAGCCUGUCCUACUGCGUUAGCAUCACCCGCUGCUAAAGCACUUAGCUUGUGUUCUCCAUGUCCUCUGUGGUACAGCCAAACAUCCAUUUGGAGGUCCUAGGAAACUUUGAAGCUUUUUCACCCACACACUGAGCGAGGGAGGCGCGGGAUGCAUUUGUGACGUUUCGUGAAUACUUUGUCCAAUAAAUAGCCCUCUUCACGAAUACAUUAAAGCUAAUCAAGGACAUGCAUGUAGCCGCGCUUUUCAGCCCAAACAGCAUGAUGGGUAUGAAAUUGGAUUUCUUCAACUGAGGGAUUUUGUUUAAAGAGUUUAAACCAAUAAUAUCUGUAAUACCCUAUUAGCUAGUGACAGCACCAGUUAUCCAUUUGGUUGUCAUAUUUUAUCUGUUGCCCUUUUUACAACACUUGUCAGACAUUGUCACACCCGCGGUGAGAGCCAACAAGGACAGAAGGAGGGCGGAGAAUCUUCCACGUCUGCUGGAAAUCAAUCAACCCUCAUAUACCACACCGCUGAUACAUGCAUCAAACAUACGCUUGUUUUUGGUUUGCUUUAUUGG
Molecule: long non-coding RNA, 4520 nt
Organism: Siniperca chuatsi (mandarin fish)
Lineage: Eukaryota; Metazoa; Chordata; Actinopteri; Centrarchiformes; Sinipercidae
Exons: 2
Source: RefSeq, a predicted model, not a curated record